CCUACGGGGGGCAGCAGUGAGGAAUAUUGCACAAUGGGCGAAAGCCUGAUGCAGCGACGCCGCGUGGGUGAAGAAGGUUUUCGGAUCGUAAAACCCUUUUCUGUGUGACGAGAGAGGACGGUAGCACAGGAAUAAGUCUCGGCUAACUACGUGCCAGCAGCCGCGGUAAAACGUAGGAGACAAACGUUAUCCGGAGUUACUGGGCGUAAAGGGCGUGCAGGCGGCAGCCUAAGUCUGGCGUGAAAUAUCCCGGCUUAACCGGGAGAGGUCGUCGG
This 275-nucleotide ribosomal RNA is filed under the name uncultured bacterium. RNAcentral describes it as "partial 16S ribosomal RNA". It matches the Rfam family "Bacterial small subunit ribosomal RNA", at positions 338 to 629 of the family's 1533-position model. The record is from RNAcentral.